GAGGAUUAGGGAACCUUAAAAAACAAGAAUCCCAGGUCACUCUAGUUAUAACAAUUCCUCUGAACUGCUUGAAUCAAACAAACAUAAAAGUUUAAUUCCACUCUUUUUACCUGGAAUUCCAAAUCACCCUCUGGAAGCAUAUCUUAGUGUUCUCACAACGGGUUUGUGGCCUUAACGGAAAAAUAGAAUGAUUCUUAAGUCUACUUUUUAGAUUCUUGGAGCCCUCUGCAUCACGAGGCCCUUUAAGUGUUUCCUUGAAUCCUCGCACCAACUCAGGGAAGUAGGUGUUACAUCCUCAUUUCACACAUGAGGAAACUGAGGCUCACCAGAGUUCAAUUACUUGUGUGCGGUCAUAUCGUGUGAGGGGAGAAGGCAGGACCUGAACCUGGCAGUUUGCUCUGCAGAAUUGACCUUCCCGUCUGCAAGGCCAUGACAGCUCUGAAAAGGCACUGAAAGGCACUGUAGGAGGACAUUUGUGACAGCGUGGUGAUGAAUUCGUGACGAGGCGGCAGCGUAGACUUGAAACAGGUCCACGUGUUUCUCUGCAUUUAGCCAAGACCAAACCAGAACGCACGCCCCUGGACGCGCAGCUGGAUGCAUGAAACAAAGAGGUUUUCUAUUUUGUCAUGAAAGGGACAUAAUUUGGGGGGAAAAGCCCUGCCCAAACCAGAAGUUCAGUUUGCGUUUGUUUCAGCCAAACUGCUUCAAGCCUGGUCACAGACUUCUGUGGACCUCGAUUGUUGCAGAAAUGUUUUUUAAAAAGCCUUUUAGGUUUUGUUAAACCUCUCCAGAAGUUUAUUUCAAAAUAAAGGAGUUACUAACACAGCUUUUCCAACGUUAGAUCAUAUUGUAAAGAACUCAUACAAUUCACUAGCAAAUAAAAAAAAUCGAUUAAAAUAUAGGCAGAGGAUCUGAAUAGACAUUUUUCCAGAGAAGACACACAGAUGGCCAAGAGGCA
This 958-nucleotide long non-coding RNA is filed under the name Equus asinus (donkey). RNAcentral's name for it is "lncRNA (ENSEASG00005027376.1)". Lineage: Eukaryota; Metazoa; Chordata; Mammalia; Perissodactyla; Equidae. The record is from RNAcentral.